This 244-nucleotide ribosomal RNA is filed under the name uncultured bacterium. RNAcentral describes it as "partial small subunit ribosomal RNA". It matches the Rfam family "Bacterial small subunit ribosomal RNA", at positions 26 to 285 of the family's 1533-position model. The record is from RNAcentral.
AGAAUCAACGCUGGCGGCGUGCCUAACACAUGCAAGUCGAACGAGAAAGUGGAGCAAUCCAUGAGUAAAGUGGCGCACGGGUGAGUAACACGUGACUAACCUACCCUUGAGUGGGGGAUAACCUAGGGAAUCUGGGCUAAUACCGCAUAACACUUACGAGUCAAAGCAGCAAUGCGCUUGGAGAGGAGUUCGCGGCCGAUUAGCUAGUUGGCGGGGUAAUGGCCCACCAAGGCGAUGAUCGGUA